UGCCCUGUCGUCUAAAGGUAGGACGCGCGCCUUUGAAGCGAUGAGUCCACGUUCGAGUCGUGGCAGGGCAUCCA
This 74-nucleotide transfer RNA is filed under the name Pseudaminobacter soli (ex Zhang et al. 2022). RNAcentral's name for it is "tRNA-Gln". It matches the Rfam family "tRNA". From Rfam's summary of the family: Transfer RNA (tRNA) molecules are approximately 80 nucleotides in length. Their secondary structure includes four short double-helical elements and three loops (D, anti-codon, and T loops). Further hydrogen bonds mediate the characteristic L-shaped molecular structure. tRNAs have two regions of fundamental functional importance: the anti-codon, which is responsible for specific mRNA codon recognition, and the 3' end, to which the tRNAs corresponding amino acid is attached (by aminoacyl-tRNA synthetases). tRNAs cope with the degeneracy of the genetic code in two manners: having more than one tRNA (with a specific anti-codon) for a particular amino acid; and 'wobble' base-pairing, i.e. permitting non-standard base-pairing at the 3rd anti-codon position. Lineage: Bacteria; Pseudomonadati; Pseudomonadota; Alphaproteobacteria; Hyphomicrobiales; Phyllobacteriaceae. The record is from RNAcentral.